RNA transcript from Quercus lobata, 1417 nucleotides. RefSeq lists it as uncharacterized. The record is from RefSeq and is a predicted model, not a curated record. The transcript has 9 exons. NCBI's taxonomy places the organism in Eukaryota, Viridiplantae, Streptophyta, Magnoliopsida, Fagales, Fagaceae.
UGACAGUUAUGAUUGUUAUGUGAGAUGGUGUGUAAUUUAAUAUCUUCUUUCUUUUGUUUCAUAUUAUCUUCUGGAAUUUCCUGUGCCUAAUCAGUGUCAAAUAAAAACUGCAUCAUCAAAAACCCUUACCAAGAUCUCUCUAAUCUAGCAGGACCGAAAGACUGGUCAAAAGAGCAAAAGAGGAAGUCCUCAAGUGGCAUCCCAUUUCCCCCACCAACACAAGAGUAAAUUAACACGGUUGAAUUUGAAGGAACGAAAUUGAAAAAUCUUUGCCCCAUUUUGUGGUUUCAUUGCCAGAGAGGUUUCUCGGAAUUGCCAAAGUCAAAUGGUUUCCUAAUUAUUGAAUCAAAUGGUGGGUUGAACCAACAGCGCUUAUUGCUUGAUUUAAGAAUGCUGUCUACAAAGCACUGAAGCGGGCAACUGAAAAGGAGAUUUCUCAAAGUGCUGAUGUCAUCUGUUGCACAUGUGUUGGUGCUGGAGAUCCUUGAUUGGCAAAUUUUAGGUUCUGCCAGAUAGAGUCAGAUAAGAAUAAGGACCGUCGCUCUAAACAGGAUGACAUACAUACUGGUGGUUCGUGUGGCUAUGCUAUGCACGCUGCAAAAAAGGCAAAAACGGAUGGACAUCCCGUAGAGCGUGCAGUAUUAUUUCAAAUUCUACAUACUCGUAAAGAUGGAUCUGCAGUUAAUCCUGUAAUGAAAGAAAAAAUGGACAAAAUGAAGGAUUUGUUGGUUGACCCUAACAAUCAAUUGCAGUCAUCUGACACAAGUGGUAGUAUUUUAUGGUCAAGAGAUGAUGUGUUUGCAAAAGUGAUGGGUAAGGAGCACAAAGGUCACAUUCGUGGGGUAGGAUUUGGUCCAACCCCAAGUGGUCAAAGUAGCAAGACUGCUCUCACGGACAGUGAAAUACGAUCAAGUCAAGCAAGGGACAACGAAGUUGCACAAUUGAAGGCUUCCUUGGCUACUAUGGAGGAGAAACUAGCAGGUUUUGAUGAAAUGAAGGAAAAACUUAGUAAAUUCGAAGAAAUGGAGCAAAGAAUGGAGCAAAGAAUGGCUCGCAUGUUUCAACAAAUGUAACAAACUACACAAUGCAAUCAGGAUGCUCCUCUGAUCGAACAAUCUCUAGCUCUCCCCAAAUCAUCAGCCGCAUCUUAUCAACCAGGAAGCUUAUAAGUUUUAUCUUGGAGUUCUUGGACUUUUUUGUGUACAGAGAACUAUGGAAGAACAACCGCAUUUCUUGCAAGUGUUGAAAGACAUUUUUAAACACUUUAGAAUUUUGAUUAUAGUAUUAGAUUAAUUUCAGCAGCUGUUUUAUUCAAAUGACCACAUUUUUUUUUUGUUAAUUUUAAGAUGGUGGUUAUAGACAAUGUUAUGUAUUUGAUAAUAUAUUUCUAUGUUAAUAUUAUGUUAGUUUCAAGACA